AACUUUCAACAACGGAUCUCUUGGCUCUCGCAUCGAUGAAGAACGCAGCGAAAUGCGAUAAGUAAUGUGAAUUGCAGAAUUCAGUGAAUCAUCGAAUCUUUGAACGCACCUUGCGCUCUUUGGUAUUCCGAAGAGCAUGCCUGUUUGAGUGUCA
Molecule: ribosomal RNA, 154 nt
Filed under: uncultured fungus
Lineage: Eukaryota; Fungi
Description: partial 5.8S ribosomal RNA
Rfam family: 5.8S ribosomal RNA
About the family: 5.8S ribosomal RNA (5.8S rRNA) is a component of the large subunit of the eukaryotic ribosome.
Source: RNAcentral